GCCAGGCAUGGUAGCACAUGCCUGUAGUCCCAGCUACUUGGGAGGCUGAGGCGGGAGGAUCGCUUGAGCCCAGGAGGUUGAGGCUGUAGUGAGCUGUGAUUGCACCACUGCACUCCAGCCUGGGCAAAAGAGUGAUACCCUGUUUCAA
RNAcentral lists this non-coding RNA (148 nucleotides) under Homo sapiens (human). Lineage: Eukaryota; Metazoa; Chordata; Mammalia; Primates; Hominidae. The record is from Rfam by way of RNAcentral.